Molecule: ribosomal RNA, 492 nt
Filed under: uncultured bacterium
Lineage: Bacteria
Description: partial 16S ribosomal RNA
Rfam family: Bacterial small subunit ribosomal RNA
Source: RNAcentral
AGUGAACGCUGGCGGUAGGCCUAACGCAUGCAAGUCGAACGGCAGCACAGUAAGAGCUUGCUCUUACGGGUGGCGAGUGGCGGACGGGUGAGGAAUACAUCGGAAUCUACUUUUUCGUGGGGGAUAACGUAGGGAAACUUACGCUAAUACCGCAUACGACCUACGGGUGAAAGCAGGGGAUCUUCGGACCUUGCGCGAUUGAAUGAGCCGAGGUCGGAUUAGCUAGUUGGCGGGGUAAAGGCCCACCAAGGCGACGAUCCGUAGCUGGUCUGAGAGGAUGAUCAGCCACACUGGAACUGAGACACGGUCCAGACUCCUACGGGAGGCAGCAGUGGGGAAUAUUGGACAAUGGGCGCAAGCCUGAUCCAGCCAUACCGCGUGGGUGAAGAAGGCCUUCGGGUUGUAAAGCCCUUUUGUUGGGAAAGAAAAGCAGCAGGUUAAUACCCCGCUGUUCUGACGGUACCCAAAGAAUAAGCACCGGCUAGCUUCGUG